GGCAAGAGGCUCCCCCCAACUCCCAGCCUGGGCUCUCAGUUUCCAUGGAAACCACAGACUUUCUGAUGGCAAGAGAGGAAAAUGAGUGUGAGGGUGGGUUCUUUCUGGCCAGGGCUGCACAGACCUCACACUGACCUUGACCUCAUCAGCCCAGCAACCCCUGCCCUGAAACCCAGCCAGGCAGAUACCCACCCACACCUACCUUCUGCCUCACUGCCCUCACACACUCUCAGACUAAGAAGUCAGGCAGAUUCCUCCCAGGGUUGCCUGGUGGGGAUUUACCCCAUCAGCCUGGCGUCAACUCGGGAUCCUCUGUGCCCCCCCACUGCACCCCGAAAUGGCCCUUCCUGUGUCUAAGAGGCUUCUGGGGAGAAAGACCAAAGGAGUAUCGGUCUGCUGGAAAUUAAGGCCGAACUAAGAAUCCCCACCCGUCUCGGGCCAUUAGGUCUCCUAGGGGAGCAGGACCUUAAGAGACACGGUUCCAUCUGGGGGGCCGGCUUUGGCCUCCCCCACGUGCAUCACGACCGAGCAGCCUGUGAAGAGAAGCCCCCUGCCCACCUGGCAGUUCCUGACCUGAAACUUCCCCAGACCUGCCUGAACAGAAACCGCCCCGUUUCCCAGCCAGCGCAGCCUCUGCUGGUCUCGCUGCACCCUCCUUCAGCCCCAGGAGGAGCCCCGCAGGACGCUCUCGCAAUAGAAGCAUCCACUCAGCCCCGGGCCUGCGUCGUGGGGUGUGUCCGGCACCAGGAAAGUUUUCUGCACUUUCUGGGUUCCCCGCCUGAGGCAGUGGGAAUCAGGGAGGGGCUUGGAGACCUGUGAGCAGGAAGUGACUUUAGAUAUCAAAUCGUGGAAUCAUCGCGGGGCCGCCCGCCAGCUCAGCUCCCGGAGGGCGGGGCGGGCAGUGUGAUGAGAAGGGGUUCGGACAGGCUCCCGCGGCUACUGUGCAGCCUCCGUGGGCAACAGCCUCUCUGAGCCUCGGUUUCCACGUCUGUAAAAGGAGGAUGACGUAGACCUGACUGUGUUGGAGGGGAGGCCGUGGCUCGUGCUGAGUAACGUCUGCUUCCUUACGGCCCCUCGGCCCGACUCCAUGCAGGCAGCUUGCAGGUUCCGCCAUCGAAUGCGGACGGAACCCAGCAACGCCGGGCACGUGCUUUCCUGGAGCCCCGGCCCGCGAGCGCGGCCGGCGGUCAGGACCACAGGCCUUCCAGGUGCUCAGCGGGGCCGGCGGCUGCCAGUGUCCUGUUUGUCCACGUGGACGACAAGCCCCAGCGGGCGUGCGUGCUGGACACGAGGAGGGGCCUGGCGCAGCUGUCCUCACCGUCGGCCCCCCGUCACCUCCGGGAGCUGCAGCUCCUCUACAGAUGGUGGGGGACCCCCGGCUGGUGCCCGGAAGGCGGCCCGCAGCCCUUAGGCUGCCAGGUUCCGCAGUGGACGGAAAGGGCUGCGCUGAACCCACCCCCAUCUCAGCAGGACGCCUUAGUCACAGCUCCGCCACGCCCCGAUCCCCAGCCACCCCCUUCCUGGGCAUCCCCUCAAAUCUUUUCCCUUUAAAUUUUUCCUAAAGAAUAAUAUCCCUCGACCGUUUCCCGCAGCAGAGAAGGAGUUCAUGGCCCGUGGAAGGGGCAUCCUGAGGCUGCAGGUAGUGACGAUGGCUCUGUCGCCAGCUUGCUGGUGACCCUGAGGACCUCGCACGGCCUCCUGGGGUGGCUCCCUGAUUCAUUCCAGGUGGCGGCAGCCAGGGGUGUGCGUGAAGCAGUGGCCUUGGGCGCGGGGCAGGGAGGGGACCCGGGAGCUGGGCGGUGCCCUGCAGGGAGGGCCGGGUGAAGGGUUUACAGAGGGGCGACUGGGGUGACGAGACAGUGAGGUCACGCCGUGCCAGGUGGGUCGGGGCUGGGGCAGGAGGCUGCGGCUGAGUCAGCAUGCUGGACGAGGAGCGGACGGGCCCGAAGGGCUGCGAGACGCGGGGAGGGGCUCUGCGGUCGAGUCCCGGCCGCCCAGACCUGGCUGGUCGCGUCUGUGUGGUGCGUGCGCGGCCGCAGCCUGAGCCAUGGCCGGCCUCGGCGCGCACUCCCGUCGCCACCCGCCUGCGUGACACGCCUCAUCCCACAGUGUUCAGGUGGAUAAACUGAGGCAGGAGCCGCCCGAGGCCGAGGGGGGAGGAAGGUGGGGCUGUAACUCCCCCUGCUUGUCCAUUCAUUCGUUCACAUCCGGCGCUGUGGUUGGCUGGUUCCUGGCGGCAGCCGUGCGCUGAUGCUUUCUGAGUUCCUCUUCUGACCCUUCCUGGCCUCCCCCAUCGUGCUCCACCCGCUCCAGGCCCUACCACAUCCUUGCUGCGCCGCCCCGGCCGCAGCCACACACUGGUGCCUUUGUGCCGUUUAUCUUGCGAGACCGGGGGCAUCAAAUAGCCUCUUUCCCUUUCUCUGCCCCGGAGAGCAGGGGUCUCCCACGUGUCGUGACUGAGCACAGCCCAGCUGUCUAAACCGAGGACGGGAUUGAAGGCAGCAGGCCUGGGGGUGGAGGACAGGCCACAGCAAGCCCCCCUCCGCCCCAUCCCGCCAACGCCCAGGGUCUCGGAGCUCACAGGCGUCAGAGGGGAAGUGAUGUUCCCCCGUUCCAAUCUCUUUUUCCUGUUUUACUAGUUGAAUCUUGAGGCUGGACAGGACCGGAAAACUUGAAAUGUUCACUUCUGCUUUUAAAAUGGAAAACCCAACAGAAACCAUUGUCCAGCGAACUCCCAGCCAAUAAGAGAGCAGAGCCAGGGGCCUGGGCCCAAGUCCCCGCCUGGCCACCAACAGGCUGAGUGGACGCGGUCAGGUCACUGCAUCUUUCACGGCCUUGGUUUCCACACUUGUAAAUUAGUCGGGGUGGAGGACGUUUCUCCAAGGCUUCUCUGGUUUUCAACAUGAUGAUGUUGAGUCCCAGAAACAUUACUGUGAGCAAGUAAUAUGGUUGUAAAGUCAAUUACCAAAAAAAGGGGCAACUAUUCUGAUUUUUUUUUAAUGCGUUUUAUUUUUGAAGGUGAUUUGGAAAAUGCAGUUGUCCCAAAGGGGAGGAGUAUUUUCUUGUGCCAUAAAAGGGAUCGGGGCUGGUGUGGUUUAAACUCAUAUUUAUAUUUCAGGUCGAAUUGGAAACUCGCUUCCCCCUUUAAGCACUGGAGGGAAUUAGUCACACUUCCUUGUGGAAGUGGAGGACAGAUCCUCUGUGCUACUCAAAGCGUCCUUCAAAAAGUUCUGGGAACAAGCACUGCUGUGUGUAUCUGUGAGAGAGAGACAGAGACGGAGAGACAGAGAGAAAUGGAGAGGCAGAGAGAGGGACAGAGAGAGAGGCUGGAGAGGGAGAAGGUGUGUGGAUGGGGAAGAAGCAACAAAAUGGUUCGGACACAGGCACUGACCUGAAGGGUUUGAUCACCAGCAGGAGGGCCUAACACGCCGACAAAUAUAACAAAAAUACAGAGUAGACUGGGGCUACAAACAAAGGGUCCUGGGGAGAAUAAUGGAAAGGGUGGUUAAUUCUUGCUGGAAGGAUCCAUGGAAGACUUCCCGGAGGAGGUGGCAUCGGCAUGCUGUCUAGGGUGGAAUACCUGGACUCGAAGGAAACAUCUAGAAGAGCAGUGUGGGGAUCCGGGCCUGCAUAUGAAAUGAGACCAAAAGGGAAGACUUGUGGACACUUUCAGGCCAGAUCAGCCCCCAAAUGAUGGCCUCUGGGAGGACCUUCUGUUGCUAGGGAGGCCUGAUGGAGUAGUGAUCCUAGGGUGGGUCCUAGGGUCUGCCCUCCUGGGAGCAAAUCCUGCCAUUCCUCCUGCCGGCUGUGUGACCUUGGGAAUUGAUCUCACUUCUCAGCACUUUAGUUUCCUCUCCUGUAAAAGGCUCAGUAAGACCUCCUGUCCCAUAAGAUGCUGUGAGGACCAUGAGAGGUUGAGCUCAUCCAGAGUCUAGAAUAGUGCCUGCUGCACACACGCUAGUGAGCACCACUGACGUCCUGUGACUCGUCCAUCUCACCUUCCCCAUGGAUACCCUGAAACACGCUGUGUGGUCUCAGCCCAAUUUCCGUUUAUAAAACAACCGGCACGGCAUCCACCGGAGGAGCCUGUGUAGCCAGAGAGCAGCCUGAGGGCGAAACCAGAACCUUCCCUUGGAGCCUUUCUGGAGGUGGGAGCAGGCUGAGUCACGGCUCCCUGAAUCUGUGCCAGGGCCACACGAGACGCUUCUCCACGUCACCCGGGCCUUCAGUCCUGCCAAGGCCAUCAGAAAAGCACCGCCGGGCCUCGUUUCCUGCUGUGAAGCUGUUGGUAGAGCAUCCUCAAAAGAGCCUUUCCGAUGGACCUUCCUUCCUGAAGGUCUAGUCCUGCUUGGUUCACGACCAUCACAAAAGAGGCUCAAAGCGCCAAAGCUUCCUGAAAGAGGCGAUUCCUUUUCUCCGGAGCUAUCCAGGAGAAGCGUGGAAGAUCUAACGGCUAAGAGCUGAGUAACCUGGAACUCAGGGAGCAUGGUCAUGGGAGCGCCACUGGGCAACUUAAAAGAGAAAACCACCAUCCACUCCCUGCAGGGGCUGCCCCCAAAGCCUGUGCUGUUCUGUCUG
Molecule: long non-coding RNA, 4578 nt
Organism: Aethalodelphis obliquidens (Pacific white-sided dolphin)
Lineage: Eukaryota; Metazoa; Chordata; Mammalia; Artiodactyla; Delphinidae
Exons: 6
Source: RefSeq, a predicted model, not a curated record